AUCUUCUUGUAGUUUCUAAGUGUGGUGAUUGGGUUUUCACCGUCAUGAGAUGUGUCUCCCUCAAGCCUUGUUAUGGUGUCGGCCCAUUACCUGUCGGACA
This is a small nucleolar RNA of Nomascus leucogenys (northern white-cheeked gibbon), 100 nucleotides long. It matches the Rfam family "Small nucleolar RNA U13". Lineage: Eukaryota; Metazoa; Chordata; Mammalia; Primates; Hylobatidae. The record is from Rfam.